This 213-nucleotide long non-coding RNA is filed under the name Elaeis guineensis (African oil palm). Its description in RNAcentral is "long non-coding RNA (EGUI_LNC021482)". Lineage: Eukaryota; Viridiplantae; Streptophyta; Magnoliopsida; Arecales; Arecaceae. The record is from RNAcentral.
CCGUUGCCUUUCUCUUUACCCCAUCUCUGAUCCCUCUCUUUUCUCCACCACUGGAUCCUGCCUCUUCGAAACCCUGACAGCCGAAUCCUACUUCCCCAAGCCCUCGAUCGUCAGAUCCCACUUCUCCGAGCCUUUGACUGCCUCCCGCCUCUCCGAGCCCUCAACCUGCCUACUCCUGGCUGCCUUUGAUCCCCAUCUUUCCUCCACCACUGG